This 471-nucleotide ribosomal RNA is filed under the name uncultured Glomus. RNAcentral describes it as "SSU rRNA". It matches the Rfam family "Eukaryotic small subunit ribosomal RNA", at positions 623 to 1089 of the family's 1831-position model. The record is from RNAcentral. Lineage: Eukaryota; Fungi; Glomeromycota; Glomeromycetes; Glomerales; Glomeraceae.
AAAGCUCGUAGUUGAAUUUCGGGAUUGACACAUCGGUCGUGCCUUAAGGGGUAUGAACUGGUGUAGUCAAUUUCUCACCUUCUGGAGAACCGCGAUGCCCUUAAUUGGGUGUCACGGGGAACCAGGACCUUUACUUUGAAAAAAUUAGAGUGCUUAAAGCAGGCAUUUUGCUUGAAUACAUUAGCAUGGAAUAAUAAAAUAGGACGGCAUGAUUCUAUUUUGUUGGUUUCUAGGAUCACCGUAAUGAUUAAUAGGGAUAGUUGGGGGCAUUAGUAUUCAAUUGUCAGAGGUGAAAUUCUUGGAUUUAUUGAAGACUAACUACUGCGAAAGCAUUUGCCAAGGAUGUUUUCAUUAAUCAAGAACGAAAGUUAGGGGAUCGAAGACGAUCAGAUACCGUCGUAGUCUUAACCAUAAACUAUGCCGACUAGGAAUCAGACGAUGUUAAUUUUUUAAUGACUCGUUCGGCACCUU